UGAAGUGUGCUGGGUUUCACUUGCUGUCACUACUCAGGACUGCCAUCAGAAGGAGAGCGCUGGCAGUGCUCACGCUGCUUUCCAUAUCACUAACUGGGAGCGCAAUAAAUAGCGUUCAGCUCGUUGUACGGCUCCUGAAAUGAAUGCGUGCAGAGGCUUCGGUUAGCUGCUUCUCUCCCGUGCAGAAGGGGUGUCACUGCUGGAUACCUCUGUCUUUCUCUCCUGUCUUCAUUGCUAGGUCUGCUGGGGCCGGGUCAAGUGGCGCUGCCCAACUUCUCACCAGCCUUGCAGGUGGAAGUGAAUCUGUAACAAGAUUGGGAAAGAAAGAGGAGAAAAAUUUUCUUUUCCAUUCCAUGGGAAAAUAACGUGUUGAAUUAUCAUCUGGAAACUGUGGGAAGAGUCAACAUGAGCAACGAGAGGCCAGUGAACCCUGGUUCAUCUCCACUGACUGAAGGCCUGAAGAGAAAGAGAGGAAGACCAAAGAAGCAGACACAGGAGGAGGCUGGGGGACAAUUCCUGGUGAAGAAACCACGAGGAAGGCCAAAAGGAAGCAAGAAAGUGAGCACUGUAAUUGGACAAAUGGUAGGACCUCCUGCUGGAAAAAGGCCAAGAGGGAGGCCCCGCAAGUGGCCCCAGCUAGCGAUCCAAGAAGGAACGUCUGAGGAAGGAAGUCCUCAGGGAAGCAGUGACUUGAAUUUGAACUCGGCGCCUGCCACACAAGGCAUCACUGGAAAAGACGGUUCCAGGCCCAGCAAAACUACUGGUCUUAGGAAGUCUCUGAGUAACAUCCCUGCCACAGCUCAGUAGUAUGCCACCUGCUCAUGUCUUGCUGAAGCCAGAGGACUGGAAAGCAAAUAGCAUUCUUAUUGUUAUAUUUUGAAUUCUCCUUUUGUGAUAAUCUUGCCCAAUCUUUCUCUCCUGCUGUCUGCUGGCUUACCCCAGCCAUCCAAGCAGGGACUUAAAGAACAAAAAGAAAAAUGCUUUCUCAGGGAGAUGCCUUUCACAGUUUGUAGUAGAUUUUUUGGUAAGGAUAUUAUCUUUUGUAAUAAUACUUCGAUAACACGGUGCCUCGUGCUGCCACAGAUAGCAAUAGUUCAAUAGAAAGACAGUGUUGACUCAGUAAUACAGAUACAGGAAAGGAAAUCUAUUUACAUAGCUAAAUUCUGAAUUUAUGUCAUACCACCUCUAGUAGAUGACGGAGUGGUCCCAGGAGUUAAAUUUUGCUCAUUUGCUCACAGGGACUGUAUCUGAAAGACACUUUGAGUCCUUCCCUCCCUGUAUCGGAAAAAAAAAAAAACCUUCAUGGCAUUUCCAGCUUACGUAAUGUUGCUCCAGCGGUCAGUAAUUUGGAUGCUUCAGAGGAAAGCUCACACCCUGGCAUCUUGAGGACUGACUCUGAAAUUUUUAUCCUAGCGCUAUCAGCUCAGGCCAUCUUCCAUUAACUAGCUUUUGGCCUGAUGGCACUCCCCAUGAAUUUGAUAGCAACUCUGAGUGAACAAUCUUUACAAGCUUAGUCACAACCACUGGAUUUCAUCACUUCCAAGGGGUGUCUCUAAAGAACCAAAGCAACCAAAGGUUGCUUCCUUGCAGAGCUGCAGGAUUCAACUUAAAUCACUGUUGUACCUUCAUCCAUAAUGUGCGUUUGUGGGGUCCUCUAGUGUUGCAGCUAUGCAAAUAAAAGCUUGUUGAUACAGUUUAGUUUUGGGAGACAGCAGUAUCCUGUUGCUCUGGGACAGGGACUGAGAGCAGCACAUUGUAUGUCAACUCUGCUUUCAGUGUCGGAGCUGAUCUUGCUAAAUUCUGAGGAAUGAGGAUAUUUCCAUUACCCACUUAGGAACAAUGAAAUCUUGUGGUUAUUUUCCAUCUGGUGGAUGCUCUGCCUGCCUAUUAAAGGGACAAAGUGGGUAUUUCAAUUAUCUUUGACAAGAUGUAAAAUUGGCUAGCUUUACAGUGUUAAAUAUUUAAACAGAACAUAAUUGGCUUUAAAUUUAUGGCAGUGCAUACCAGAAUAUUGAGCUCAUUUAUUAUCCUUUCAUCAGAGGUCUGUUUCCUUAGCAGGUAUGUAUUUAACACAAGAAAAUGUCUGCAGGAUUAAGAGGAAGGACUGACUGGAGAAAGAAAAUAGAAAAACUGUUUUUUUCUCCUCUAGAUCAUUUUGUCCAGUCUGCCGUGUAGUAGUGACCAGGGUUCUGAUUAUGUUAAUUCUGUGUUGUCAGGUUUACCCUAACAGUAGUUUCUUGUAUAUGGACUUUGGUGGUCUCAGCAGAAAAAACUGCAUCACGGUAACCUUUCUUGCCUCCUCUACCACGUAUCGGAGAAAUCAAGGAUUAAAUGGAUUGGAUCACAGGGUCUGACCUAAACCUUAUGUGAGGCAUGCUGCUGUAUGUGGGAAGUCUGACCUCCUCCUGCUGCAUGGAUAAAUACAGGUGGGACACCAUGCAUUCAAGUCUGUAACUAUCAAUAGUUACAUGAGAAGAUCCAACUGGUGUUCCUCCAAGUUCAGGUUAGGGCAAGACGCAAGAUUUGCUCUGCAUCAUUUUUUUAGAUGCAAAAGUUCAUCUGCAGUUCACGUCUGCAUUCAAAGGGCACCCCAGUGAUACGCUAAGAUAUUUCACCAACUUCUAUACCUGAUUUGUGAGUGGAUUGGCAAAUUUAACAUUUUCCUUCAAGACUGUACUGUGUAUUUAAUUGAGCCCUAUUGCCUGAGAGUAAUAGCUGUUACCAUGUGAAACUGGAAUUUCAGCUUCUCCUAAACGGAUUAGGCAUGGCAUCUGUAAGAGACUUGAGCUUUUCUUAUGACACUAGUCAGUCCUUUCUCAGCUGGUAACAUGCAGUAGGGAUGGAAACUGCCUCAGUUAAAUAGUAAAUCCAUUUGAUUCAGGUCAGCAGUGGUCUUCUGGGAUAUGCACUCAAAGUACUCCUCUUAGGGGGAAAAAAAAAAACUAGUCUUUGCUACCUCUUAAUAUUCUAUUGAGAAACCACAGCAGAAAACAGAUUUCUCUAAAAAAUGUAACUGCUUGGGAACAACCAUAAUUCCACACUAUUAGGAGCCACUCUUCAUGUAGUUGAAAUCCCAGUCCAUAACUUCAGCUUCCACUUUUAUGCAGAGACUUAGAAUGAAAGUCAAUGUCUAUUAAAAGCAGGCAAAAUUCCAGUUGUCUUCAGAGAGGUAGGCUGGCUCGCAUGCUAGUUUUUCUUAUUUGAAAGAUAAACACUUUUUAUUCCCCUGUGUAGCCAAAUCCUACCUCUAAACAAAUGCAUUUCAAAUGUUUCUAAGCUUAGACAGUGGGUCUGAGUCAAAAAACAGGUCACUGCAGUGGGAUCAGAACAGUGGAGAUGACAAGGUGUGUUUUCUAGCAAAGUUUGGAAGAUUCUCAUAAAUGGUUCUCAUUUUGGUGUAGGCAUAAAGAGUUUUGACUAUUUGAAAUUAGCCUCAGAGUUUGUUUUUAAUAAAGGUAUAAAACGUAGCACCUCAGGCUUCUGCUUUGCCUCCUCCAUGUGCAACAACCUCAGCUCACACGCAUCUCUAGGCAAACAUGUUUCUCUUUUCUUUACUGGAGUUAAAAAAAAAAAAAGUUUUGGACAUUCUAACACACAAUUUGGUCACUCAGGAGCACCUGCAGACCUAUGUGAAAACAAGGAAUAACGAGUAUGAGGAAUCAUGAGGAAAAAAAACCCAAGUGUUGGUACCUAAUUCUAGCCUCUUGUGUAUCUUACAGUACCUUGGAAUUGGCUUGACUACAAUACAGGCUAAUUCUGUUUCAUGUCUAUACCUAGAGGUCUCCACAGCGAAGUCUGUAUAUGCCACAUAGUGUAUAUGCCACAGCUUUUUGUACAAUUAAUUCUGUUCCUCUGUAUAGCCUCUUCAGGUCAUCUGACAGCUUUCCUAACCAGUCCCAAGUUAUGGGUUUGUGGGCCAAAAAGUGAGGUAGAAAGCAAAUUUGUUCUCUGAAACACACAAAAAAUAUCACCAUGGAGCUGCCAAUGGUGCUGCCCACAAUGUUCACCCAAUGUGGGUGAAGCUGUCCUGGACAGAACUGCAGGUAACCCAAUAAAUCCAGAGUUUGUCUCAGAAUUCAGCUGGUUUAAGGAAAAUAUGGCCAACAGACAAGUUGGAAUUUGUCCUUCUGCACUCUGGGUGCCUGGGAUGUGCUAGGCUGGAAGCGCCUGCCUUCCUGACUUCUCCACUAAGCCUUCCCAUAGGGGUCUGAGUUUCCACACAGAGGAAUACUAAACUUUUAACUCUGCAGAGCUUGUCGUUUGAAGUUUUUGAUGCUUACUUCAGACUUUGAAAGAUUAGGGGAAUUCACUGUGUACAAAGUUACCAACAGGUACCAAGGGUAUACUCCAGUUUUCCCUGGAAAAUGUAAAUAGUAGGGAAAAAAGAAAAUCACACAACAUUUCAUGUAAAUACUUUAAUUAUAUUUAAAUGCUUAAGACACAGAAACACUUGAAUUAAAUUACAUCAUAAUGCUUCUGCUAAGUUGUACAUAUACGUCCAAGAACUGUGAGUGAAGGCGCUAUUGAACUAAAAGAAUACUCCAGUGCAAGCCCAGCAAAUACCCAUAAUAUUCUUUUAGUCUUGUUUUCUGUACUUCUUUAAUCUAAGGGCAGUCAUCACAGGACAAAGCCUACCAUUGCAGGAAGAAUGGUUAAAGAGAAUUCCUCUGCAGGUGUGUUUGUUAUAUGAGAUAUCUCAGCAUUAACGUGGAACAAGGUGCCUGUUUUUGUACCCGAGCUGGCAGAUGCACUGUUUGGCAGCUGCCUGUGCAAUACAUGGAGUGGUCUGAGGCAACAGCCAGCUUAUGGUUGCCUUUUAUAGAGUGUAAAAUGACAACAACAAAGUUCCAGUCCUAUGAGUUCUAGGGGCUGAACACUUGCAGGUUAGGGCAUGCACCAUUGCCACCGCUUGCGUCCCCAUCCUGCUGCAAAGCACAGGAGUGUGACGGGCAAUGAUGUGCCAGCUGCUGAAGGGAAAAAUCUGACAUCUCUGUGGCUGGCUGUCCUCAGGGAGCACUCGGAGGAGAGAUAAAGAGAUGGUAAGUUGAGGCAGGGGUGGGGUGGGGGUUGCUUUUUUUUGGCUGGUCAUGUAAGCAUAACCUCGGGGAAGACCCACAGAUGGUGGCCUCCAAAUUCUAAGGACCUACACCAGAUUACACCAAGUAUUUGUACCCACACCCCCUUCCAGCAGUCUCCCUGGCGCGCAAACCUUGGCAAGCUGGGAAUGCCUCCUGCCAUAUCUACCAGUUAUAAAGGAUGGGCCAUUUUCUACACGUGCUGACACUCCUAGACUUACUACACUUUCAGAACUCUUUGGUUUUAAAAAGGAAGGGGGAUACUGAAAAAAUAAAGCAACUCAGUCCUGCAAAAAUGCUAUGAGGGAAGCUGUGUAGUGAAGAAGGUAGAGCUGGUGAGAAACUGUUCACUGCGGCAGGGGUCAGUGGCAUGUGCACAGGAAAGUGUUUGCAUCUGUGAAUAGCAAAAGAAAAUCACAGUGGGAAGCAAAAAAACAGGAUCUGGGAGAACAAAAACUAGCUAGCAGGCCCAAACUUGCAACAAAGCACAUGAUACCUGAAUUGCCACUCAGUGAAACACCUCCUUGCAUAAAGCUCACCUUUAGAUCUGCAUUCAAAUUUUGACUGGCCCUGAUUCCCUUUUAACUGGUGCUGUGGAUGGAAUAGGAUCUGACAAACGCAUGUGCUGCAGAAAAAUCAGUAGGCGAGUAGUAUAUGGCCGGGGACUGAUGCUUGUGCACCACUAACACAGCAGUGAGACAGUUUGAUUUGUGCGUUCACCUCCAGGGAUCUAAAGCCACCACCCAACCAGGAGUGAGGGUCAAUCUCUGGCAGCAAAAAGGAGCACCCCUUCCCCCAGAUCACGAUGUCCGAACGGGGUGGACAGACGCACAUCCCUUCUUUUGAUUUUCCCUGCAGUUUCGAGACUGAGCAACUGGGCAGGGAGGAUGGGGCACGUGCCUGGUGCUCUGGUUGUACUGGACCCUCCUCUUGUCCUUUCUGCCAUGCUCUUUGUUUGCAGUGUGAGAGCCCAGCCUGGACCCUGCUGCCAGCCCCUGGCCACUGUGCUGGCCAGCAGCACUCUAGGCUGGUGGCCACCAGAGGCUCUGAGGAGGACAGCCCUCAUGCUGCACUGCAGCAUGCCAAGGUGGCCAGAGACCCCUUCACACUCUCUCUCCUGCAGCCCUGAAGGACAUGCAGGCAGCGGGGUGCUUCAGGGUUACAGGGGAACUGCUGUCUUACCUGCCCAGACCCACCUUCUGCACUAGCAGGUAACACGAGCAAAGGCUAACACAAAACUCUGUUUCCUUCAGCAGGGAGAAGACUGACUGCAGGUCCUAGCAGGUAAGGAAGCAACCAGAUGUUCGGCCACCUCUAGGCACACCUGUUGUAAUGUGGAGCCAAUACCUGUUAAUCCUCAUUCAAAAGAAGAAAAAUCAAGGCUUAAUCUUCUCUCUGCACUGUAAAAACUUCCCUGAGCUGAAGCCCCGGGGAUACGUGGUAUCAGGGCCCCAGUUUUCUUCAGUGUUCAAUUCCUCUCUCUGGCUCAGGCACUGGCGUUCCCAGGUCAGUGGCAGGGAGUCAUGUAGCUAGAUGUGACAGCCCCUGCCUCUAGCUGUGUGAAAUCCCCUCUCUACAUAUGGCAGCCCUGAUUUGGGAUAUUCACAGAUCAUCUCCUCAGUUAAGAAGUUAUCAGCCAAAUGUUCACCAUUUCACUUUUUAGAGCUAGUGAAUUCCCCAUGCUGCAACAUCAGCCCAGGCUCACAUUUAUCAGCAUCACACAUGCCACAAUGGGAUAAGCCCAUGGUAUGUGUUUUCCCUUGUGUGCCCCAGAUUACCACUCAGCUAGGAGAGUCAGCUUUCCCAGCUCAAAGAGGCUUUGCCACCGGUCAGCCCUCCAGGGUCUGCCAAAGCUGCACAGGGAGGCUCAUUCAUCACUUUCCCGGGGAUCUGGUGGCACAAAGCCAACAGGGAAGCUGUGUGAAACAUGCACCUCUCCUCUCUCCCUGACCCAGAGCGCUCACACGUGUGCUCCGAUAAGUUACACUACAACAAAGUGGCCACUGUUCCUAAGCAUGCGGCCUGGUAGAUGGUGUCUGUCAGCACCAGCCCAGAACCCAGAGCAUGGCAGCUCAGAACCCUUUAGUAGUAACGGACACAUCAAAAAAUGCUACUGCCAUCACAAAGGGUUUUCUUCCCAAAGUGACGACUGUUCCCAGUGUUUGUGCCCAUCUGUACCACAAACCAGCAGAGUGACCAGCUGGGCUCCGGGACUCAGCCAUGCUCGUGAGAAGUCAAUGGUUUGUUGGCUCCAUCCUCCCCAGUCUCGGCACAAUCCCAGAGCAGGGGCAGGUAUUGUUCAUGCAUUGAUGGCAUUGGCAACGUCUGUGAACACAAGACGGCUGGGUCUUUGGAGGGCUCCUUGAUUCGUCAGCAGAAUCUGCAUUGAAGCAGUGAAAGAUGAGACCCAGCAAGUCUGCUUUUUCUCGUGUGCAUGACCCUGGGCACAGACUGCACAGUAUCAUAACUACAUUCAGCCUCUUACUAAGGGCAGCAAAGGCAUGUCCUGUGAGGACACUUGGUUUGUCUGGUUUGGGGAAAAGGAGGCCAGGACGCGACCUCAUGGCUCUCUGCAGCUCCCUGAGGAGGGGAAAUGCAGAGGCAGGCGCCGGUCUCUUCCCCCCAGUAACGGAUGUCAGGACGCAUGGGAACAGCACAAAGCUGCAGCAGGGGAGGCUCAGACUGGUUGUUAAGAAACAUUUCUUUAUGGUGAGGGUGGCCAAACACUGGGACAGGCUUCCUGGAGAGACGCUGGAUGCCCCAUGGCUGUCGGUGCUCAAGAGGAAUUUGGAUAAUGCCCUCAUUAAUAUGCUUUAAUUUUUGGUUAGAUCUGAAGCGCUCAGGAAAUUGGACUUGAUGAUCUUUGUAGGUCUCAUCCAAGUGAACUAUUCUAUUCUGCUCUAUUCUAUUCUACUCAAGGUGGGGCUGAUAGACUAACAUGAUACUACCAAGGCUGCAACAGAAAAAUGCAACAAGCCACAGAGCAAGUCAGCACAACCAUGCCAAUUUAAAAUCCCCACAUCAUUGGAUUACAGGGUGUAGCUUAUCCAGGACUCCACAGAUUUGCCAUGAACUCACUGUUUUAUACACUCAAGGCAGCAUAAAAAGACUUGAAACCUCAAGAAGGCUGGAAACACGCCACAAACUGAUCCUUGGCUGCUGGUUUAGACUCCCUCUCAUGUUCCAUAAAAUCUUUAAACUCGCAUACUUUCCAAGCAGAGGUGUCUGUGCAUUAGCAAGCUCUGGAGGGAUCUAAGGUAUCCUGCUGGCCAGUCACUAUAUAGAAAGCAUGCACUUUUACUGUGCUAAGUUUAACUCUGGCCUUGUCAUUUCCCCUCUUUAUUACCUGUAAGGGAAGUACUCUGUGUGCACUGAUAGAGGGCUCUGAUGUAUGUGCUGCUCAGAGAACAAGAUCCUUUGCUUUUAUACAGCAUUAUUUCUCUACUUUCCCAAACCACUGUAUAGAAUAUGCUGAUUAUCAUCCAUAUUGCAACACAUCUGCUGUGUGCUCUUUGUCAGACUGGGAAGCAUCCUUCAAGGUAAAUAUUUUAUAAUUGCAGUAGUAUUUAUUUUCUUCUUUCUUCCUUUCUGCCCACACCAAGCUUGCUACAGGUUAUCUGAAGGUAUAAAGCGUGUGGAAACCAAGACAUGUUUGGGAGAAUUCAUGCUCCUAGAACUGGAAAAGCAAGGGCGAUAUGGAACAGCUGGAGAGGAAUUCAGGAAAGGAGAGAUGUCUACUCUAAGGGGAGGUUGCAUCACUGGCUAAGAGACAUACCUGUUCCAACCAUCCUUGCUGGCUCUGUAUUACAGAAAGGCUUUUUGUGUGCGAUAGCGGUGACAAAGGAAACAAAGAACACUAUGAAACUGGCUGCAAUGUGCAUUUCACAGGUGAAGCAUGAAGAGCUUACAGAAUCCCCAACCUCCUCCUGGUCAACAAUGUUGUCCUUCCCAAAGCUGCAAAGGAGCCUUGGAAGCUCUGGUUUUAGAAGACGGAGUGCUGAGUCCCUGCUCCUGCCUCAUUCACAUGCAGCUGGCUGCCCGUAUGCUUGCUCUCAGACAACCAUUCCUUACGCUCUCCCCAUCUCCUGCUCUACUUCCUAGCUCUGCCUGGAUUUUGAAACACUGAGUUCCCUUCAGCUACCAAGAGAUG
Cygnus olor (mute swan) is the source of this 9225-nucleotide long non-coding RNA. RefSeq lists it as uncharacterized. The record is from RefSeq and is a predicted model, not a curated record. NCBI's taxonomy places the organism in Eukaryota, Metazoa, Chordata, Aves, Anseriformes, Anatidae. The transcript is spliced from 7 exons.